CAUUCUGAGAGGAGAACUGUGAAAGCACUAGGUAUUCUGAAAAGGGAAAGGUUUUUGUACACUGACUGUUGGAAAUGGGUACUGGAGUUGAUGAGUCAAAAAAAAGGGGGAAAGAGUGUGAUGAACUGAAUGCUUGUAUCCUCCCCAAACUCCUGUGUUGGAAUUCUAACCCCCAGUGUGGCGGUAUUAGGAGGUGGGAGCCUGGGGAGAUAAUUCGGUCAGUAGAGCAGAGGCUUCAUGAAUGGGAUUAGUGUCUUUAUAAGAGAAGAUAUUGAAGAGACAAUCUUUCUUUCCCUUCCGUCAUGCGAGGAUACAAUGAGAAGACCUGCCAUCUGCAAACCCAGAAGCAAGCCCUCAUCAGAUACCAGGUCUGCUGCCACCAUGAUGUGGGACUGCUCAGCCUCUAGAACUGAGCCUUGAGGUUUCUCUUCUUCUGGUGUGGAUGCUGGAACUCCUUUCUGAAGUAAGAGGCAAAUAUCUCUCAGCAGAGAGUGCCAAUACCAAUCACUUAACCAUGGCAAUCUUCCUCAGUGUUUAAUACUCACCCUGAUGGUCCCAAGAUGGCUACAGCAGUUUCAGCCACGGUAUCCUAACCCACCCACAUCUGGAUGUAUCUACCUUUUCUAUCUCUAUCUAUUAAAAAUGUAGGAUACUUUUACCAGAAGGUUCUCCUCUAGGCUACUACUCAUGUUUCACUUGACAAAAUUGGUCACAUGGAAUUUCUUAAGUCAUAUACUGAUGAGGGAGGUGGAAUUAUCAUGAUUGGAUUAGACUACCCAUGAGUCACCACUCCUCAGCCUGGGAGAAAGAUCAUUUUCUCAGAGCAAAUGUCUGCAUAUGGCUGAAGAAUGGCAUGAACUAUAAAUUUAAAAAAUUGGAGUCCUCCAGGAAAGAAAGGGAAAAUUAAACAGAAAUGACUGGGUAGGUAAAACACAAUAGUCUCCAAUGCCAAAUAAACUUUGUUUUGUUGCUCUC
Cebus imitator (Panamanian white-faced capuchin) is the source of this 975-nucleotide long non-coding RNA. RefSeq lists it as uncharacterized. The record is from RefSeq and is a predicted model, not a curated record. Lineage: Eukaryota; Metazoa; Chordata; Mammalia; Primates; Cebidae. The transcript is spliced from 2 exons.